This is a long non-coding RNA of Synchiropus splendidus (mandarinfish), 1529 nucleotides long. RefSeq lists it as uncharacterized. The record is from RefSeq and is a predicted model, not a curated record. NCBI's taxonomy places the organism in Eukaryota, Metazoa, Chordata, Actinopteri, Syngnathiformes, Callionymidae. The transcript has 3 exons.
GUGUGAUACAGGCAAAUACUAUAUGUUCAGCAUGUUACCUUUUUCUCCUGCCCACAUCCGCUGGUCCUUUAUGUCAUCAACUGAUGGUAAAUACGGGCGAUAUCCAUGGGGAAGGAAGACAGUCUUGCAGCAGGCAGAUUCUGAGCUUCAGCUGAUAAACACCUUCAUUGGAUCUCUUUGAGGACCUUGGCUUUUCCCCACAAACAAGCUCCGUUGUUGUCCAAUCCAAAUAGAAACAGAUUUGUAUGACAUUCAGCUCAGGGUGACUGAUGGUGGAAUUGAAGCGGCUUUAUUGACCACUGGACACAUGUUCCUCUGAGGUCAGCUUAUGCUCUGAAAAGGAAACAUGAGUUCUGCUGGGGGAAAUGGCCCAUCUUCACCAACCGUGCUGCUUGUCAUGACUCCGUAUAGAAGGAAGAGGAUCCAGGAAUUAGACUGUAAGAAAGAACUGAGAAGUAAGAAGAGACAGACAGAGACAAGCGGACCAGAGGGAGCGUGAGGAGAAACAGGCGGAGUCGCAGGAGGUGAGUGGGAGGAGUCUGUUGCAUAGAUCGAAGCAAACAGGAGGAGGACAAGGGUCGACCGGAGGUGAGACACACACUGAGGAAACAGACAUGCAGAUGCAUACUCCUGCAUGUGCUAUCGGUUUGUGAUGAGAGCAGGACUCUUGAGGAUCACACACCCGAGUGAGUCCCACUGUGUGCCCUGUGAUGUGCUUGCAACCUGUCCCGCCUCACACCCCAGGUAGCUGGGAAUUGCUGCAGACCUGUCUGCCAGUGCAAGAUCACUUAAAGAAUAAGUCAGUGUUUGGAUUCUCAUCCUUAUCAAAGCUGCUAUUAAGCUCCUUUAUGAGGAAAAAGCUAUCUGUAGCAAAAAUAACAUUGUAAAAUCAAAUCCCUGGGUAUUUCAGGAGAAAGAAUAAAAAUUUCCAGUUGACGUAUAGUAGCCUUUAAACACAUUGAAAAACUCUCAAAAAGCGAACGACGGAUGCUGUGACUGGUCGGUUAAGAAGACCUAGCUCCUCGGGAUAUGGCUGAUGAAGUCAGGUGUUUGUGCAUCCACGACGACCGAAUCAACUCCAGACUCAAACAAAGCUUCCUCAGUGUGUUUCACCUCCGAGCGCUGAUACAUGUGUCCAAGAACCAUUCAGGGAGGGGCGCGAACAGGUCGAAUGCCACGGGGGGUGGGAAGGGACAGGUUGUGGUCUCAUUCCAUACUAAAACAUGCAGAACACAGAACAUUGAGCACAUAUACUGAACAGUUAGUUUUUAUCCAAAUGCAUUUUUUUUCCCGUAUUUUUGUACAGAGAGUGGCGUUUAGGUUACACAGAACACGACGGAACCAAUCACACCAGGUCAGACAUAUUGCUUUAAACCACCAAAGUUUGUAUAUAUGUCAUGCAUGCCACAUAGAUGAUAGUAUGUUUUACAAAAAUAACACCAACGCCUAUUACUGUGUAUCAUAGUAAUUACAGAAAACAAGUCAGUCUUUUUUUCCCCAAGAACAAAAAAAAAAAAUCUACAUUUACA